RNAcentral lists this ribosomal RNA (493 nucleotides) under uncultured bacterium. Its description in RNAcentral is "bacterial SSU rRNA". It matches the Rfam family "Bacterial small subunit ribosomal RNA", at positions 18 to 518 of the family's 1533-position model. The record is from RNAcentral.
CCUGGCUUAGGACGAACGCUGGCGGCGUGCUUAACACAUGCAAGUCGAACGAUGACGAUGGUGCUUGCACCGUCUGAUUAGUGGCGAACGGGUGAGUAACACGUGAGUAACCUGCCCUCCUCUUCGGGAUAACCGCCGGAAACGGUGGGCUAAUACCGGAUAUGAAUGUCUGCCGCAUGGUGGGUGCUGGAAAGAUUUAUCGGUGGGGGAGUGGACUCGCGGCCUAUCAGUUUGUUGGUGAGGUAAUGGCUCACCAAGGCGAUGACGGGUAGCCGGCCUGAGAGGGCGACCGGCCACACUGGGACUGAGACACGGCCCGAGACUCCUACGGGAGGCAGCAGUGGGGAAUAUUGCACAAUGGGCGAAAGCCUGAUCGCAGCGACGCCGCGUGGGGGAUGACGGCCUUCGGGUUGUAAACCUCUUUCAGCAGGGAAGAAGCGAGAGUGACGGUACCUGCAGAAGAAGCGCCGGCUAACUACGUGCCAGCCGCCGC